UUGGAGGGCAAGUCUGGUGCCAGCAGCCGCGGUAAUUCCAGCUCCAAUAGCGUAUAUUAAAGUUGUUGCAGUUAAAAAGCUCGUAGUUGAAUUUCGGGAUCAAUUUAUUGGUCGUGCCAACGGUACGCACUGGUACAAUUGGUUUCUCCCUUCUGACGAAGCAUGAUGUCAUUAAUUUGAUGUCGUGGGGAAUCAGGACUGUUACUUUGAAAAAAUUAGAGUGUUUAAAGCAGGCUUUGGCUUGAAUACAUUAGCAUGGAAUAAUGAAAUAGGACGUUUGAUCUUAUUUCGUUGGUUUCUAAGAUCGACGUAAUGAUUAAUAGGGAUAGUUGGGGGCAUUAGUAUUCAAUUGUCAGAGGUGAAAUUCUUGGAUUUAUUGAAGACUAACUACUGCGAAAGCAUUUGCCAAGGAUGUUUUCAUUAAUCAAGAACGAAAGUUAGGGGAUCGAAGACGAUCAGAUACCGUCGUAGUCUUAACCAUAAACUAUGCCGACUAGGGAUCGGAUGAUGUUAAUUUUUUAAUGACUCAUUCGGCGCCUUACGGGAAAC
RNAcentral lists this ribosomal RNA (549 nucleotides) under uncultured Glomeromycotina. RNAcentral's name for it is "SSU rRNA". It matches the Rfam family "Eukaryotic small subunit ribosomal RNA", at positions 548 to 1098 of the family's 1831-position model. The record is from RNAcentral. Lineage: Eukaryota; Fungi; Glomeromycota.